GCACAUUUUAGAGCCUCAAUCAUUUCGGCUAAUAACCAAAAUUACAUUCAAAUCCAAAUUCAAAAUUCUAAUGCUAAAAAUUAUUCUUAAAUAAAUUUAUUGUAAUCCAUCACUACUCAUAUAAGCUGCACCUUGAUCUGAUUUAUAACAUAAUGAUAUAUUACAAUUAUAUAUUUCAAAAAAUAAUUUGUAACGAUGAUAUACAAGCAAAAUAAAAGUUUUAUUAAUCGUGAAUUAUCAAUUACAGGACAGAUUCCCCUGAUUGGAAUAAAAAACCGCCAAAUCUUUUGAUUUUAAAGAACAUAUCUAAUAUUUAUCAGGUCUAAGUAUUCUACAUUUAGAAUAAUGGGGUAUCUAAUCCCAGUUUAAUUCCUAAAUAUCUUAACUUCACAAUCAAAAAUUUAGUUAAAUUAAAAAUAAAAUUUCACCUUAUAUCAAUAAAAAUAAAAAUUAAUUAAUAUUAAUUAAGCAUAAUAACCGAAAAAAAAUAAUAGUAUUAUUUGUUUAACCGCA
RNAcentral lists this ribosomal RNA (513 nucleotides) under Dematochroma sp. JGZ-23. RNAcentral describes it as "partial 12S ribosomal RNA". Lineage: Eukaryota; Metazoa; Arthropoda; Insecta; Coleoptera; Chrysomelidae. The record is from RNAcentral.